GACGAACGCUGGCGGCGUGCUUAACACAUGCAAGUCGAACGGUGAAAGCGGAGCUUGCUCCGCUGGAUCAGUGGCGAACGGGUGAGUAACACGUGGGCAACCUGCCCCUCACUUCGGGAUAACUCCGGGAAACCGGGGCUAAUACCGGAUACGACCUCCUUGGGCAUCCUUGGAGGUGGAAAGUUUUGCGGUGUGGGAUGGGCCCGCGGCCUAUCAGCUUGUUUGUGAGGUAGUGGCUCACCAAGGCGACGACGGGUAGCCGGCCUGAGAGGGCGACCGGCCACACUGGGACUGAGACACGGCCCAGACUCCUACGGGAGGCAGCAGUGGGGAAUAUUGCGCAAUGGGCGAAAGCCUGACGCAGCAACGCCGCGUGCGGGAUGAAGGCCUUCGGGUUGUAAACCGCUUUCAGCAGGGAAGAAGCCGCAAGGUGACGGUACCUGCAGAAGAAGCACCGGCUAACUACGUGCCAGCCGCCGCCGUAA
This 485-nucleotide ribosomal RNA is filed under the name uncultured bacterium. Its description in RNAcentral is "partial 16S ribosomal RNA". It matches the Rfam family "Bacterial small subunit ribosomal RNA", at positions 28 to 523 of the family's 1533-position model. The record is from RNAcentral.